UGGGGAAUAUUGGACAAUGGGCGCAAGCCUGAUCCAGCCAUGCCGCGUGAGUGAUGAAGGCCUUAGGGUUGUAAAGCCCUUUCAGUGGGGAAGAUAAUGACGGUACCCACAGAAGAAGUCCCGGCUAACUUCGUGCCAGCAGCCGCGGUAAUACGAAGGGGGCUAGCGUUGUUCGGAUUUACUGGGCGUAAAGCGCACGUAGGCGGUUUGUUAAGUCAGGGGUGAAAUCCCACAGCUCAACUGUGGAACUGCCUUUGAUACUGGCAAGCUAGAGUCCGGAAGAGGUAAGUGGAACUCCUAGUGUAGAGGUGGAAUUCGUAGAUAUUAGGAAGAACACCAGUGGCGAAGGCGGCUUACUGGUCCGGAACUGACGCUGAGGUGCGAAAGCGUGGGGAGCAAAC
This 401-nucleotide ribosomal RNA is filed under the name uncultured bacterium. RNAcentral's name for it is "bacterial SSU rRNA". It matches the Rfam family "Bacterial small subunit ribosomal RNA", at positions 355 to 773 of the family's 1533-position model. The record is from RNAcentral.